AGCAUCUGAUCUCAGGUCAGCGCUCCAUGCAUGCGUGAGACGAAUGGAGCUAAUCACCUAAUCACCAGCAGGCCCCUUGACACCCGAGGUCACUGGAGUUAGAUCUAACCGAGCCCCUCAGAACUGCAAAACAAGGACGUCCAGCUACAAAGAACUGCUUUCAGGACAAAUAACAAAGCAGCAAGGAUAGAGUUUCAAGCGCAUCUAAGCAGCAAAAAUGAUGGGAAGAGGAAAGCAGCAUCUCCACUGCACGAACGGCCUGUCAUCGUCAUUUGACAGCUGGACCAAAAAUAGCCCCGUGGUUGAGCGUGACUCCUGCGAACUCGUCGAGUAGAUGCCUCUGCCAAUCAGCAGGACGGACUUCUUGUCCUGGUCAUAAGGACCGUCUUUCUGUAACGUCUCGGCUGCACAGCGACUCUGCCGCUACUGUUUUGCUGUCUUAGUUGUGGCGUAGUCACUCUCCACAGCUCGGCAGAGUAUCAUGCAGAGCUCCUCUCUCUCUGUGCAGUCAUGUGCACAUGGCAGGCCGCCCACUCGUCCAGCAUGUGCUGGAGGCGGCAGGGCUGCGUGUGUCAGCGCGUCUGCAUUGGACACGCCACGGACUCAACGUCCGAUUGGAGCUCAGCGGUACGUAACUUACACCGGGGAUAUAGAUGUAAAUAGAGAUGUGCCAACGAGAUGUGGAACAGACACAGCCGCGAGGAUGAAAGCGUGCAAAAAUAUCUACGGUCUAUAGACUACAAGAUAUUUGGCCUGGAAGACACAAUUAGAAACUUCCAUAGUUUCUGAAUUGGGAAUUCUAAAUGCACGAAAGGACAAAUGUCAAAUUUAUGGCUACUACCACUCUGGCACUGCACCUUUGACUGAACAAGCGAAAACACACAAACCUUGUUCCACAGACAAUAUUUGCCAUAACACUUUCCAGUUUUGUAGAAACAACAUUAUAGUUAAUUCAACAAACUGCAGCCUGAUAUCAGGUUCUGUUUUCAUGUUCAAGUAUUCAUUUGUUAAGCAGCUGUAUAAUAAGAAAGAUAAAAUACAAUCGGAUGUCAUAAUUGCAAUUGCAGUAUAUUUUGUUCCCUUUAAAUAUUUUUGUGUAUUGUUAUUACCUAUUUAUUUAUUUAUUCCACUUUUAUUAUUUUUAUUAUCUGUGUCUUGUCACUGUCAUUCAGUUUGUACUGUGGAACCUUCGGUCAUCAAAACAAAUCCCUCGUAUGUGUAAACAUACCCGUCAAUAAAGCUUUUUCUGAUUCUGAUUCUAAAUGCGACGUUGAAUUAUACUAGUUACAUAGUCAUGUUAUUGUCAUGUAAAU
This is a long non-coding RNA of Onychostoma macrolepis, 1313 nucleotides long. RefSeq lists it as uncharacterized. The record is from RefSeq and is a predicted model, not a curated record. Lineage: Eukaryota; Metazoa; Chordata; Actinopteri; Cypriniformes; Cyprinidae. The transcript is spliced from 3 exons.